CGGGACGGGUGAGGAAUACAUCGGAAUCUACUCUGUCGUGGGGAUAACGUAGGGAAACUUACGCUAAUACCGCAUACGACCUACGGGUGAAAGCAGGGGAUCUUCGGACCUUGCGCGAUUGAAUGAGCCGAUGUCGGAUUAGCUAGUUGGCGGGGUAAAGGCCCACCAAGGCGACGAUCCGUAGCUGGUCUGAGAGGAUGAUCAGCCACACUGGAACUGAGACACGGUCCAG
RNAcentral lists this ribosomal RNA (232 nucleotides) under uncultured bacterium. RNAcentral describes it as "partial 16S ribosomal RNA". It matches the Rfam family "Bacterial small subunit ribosomal RNA", at positions 100 to 334 of the family's 1533-position model. The record is from RNAcentral.